GAUGAACGCUGGCGGCGUACCUAAUACAUGCAAGUCGAGCGAACGGACGAGAAGCUUGCUUCUCUGAUGUUAGCGGCGGACGGGUGAGUAACACGUGGAUAACCUACCUAUAAGACUGGGAUAACUUCGGGAAACCGGAGCUAAUACCGGAUAAUAUUUUGAACCGCAUGGUUCAAAAGUGAAAGACGGUCUUGCUGUCACUUAUAGAUGGAUCCGCGCUGCAUUAGCUAGUUGGUAAGGUAACGGCUUACCAAGGCAACGAUGCAUAGCCGACCUGAGAGGGUGAUCGGCCACACUGGAACUGAGACACGGUCCGGACUCCUACGGGAGGCAGCAGUAGGGAAUCUUCCGCAAUGGGCGAAAGCCUGACGGAGCAACGCCGCGUGAGUGAUGAAGGUCUUCGGAUCGUAAAACUCUGUUAUUAGGGAAGAACAUAUGUGUAAGUAACUGUGCACAUCUUGACGGUACCUAAUCAGAAAGCCGCGGCUAACUACGUGCCAGCAGCCGCGGUAAUACGUAGGUGGCAAGCGUUAUCCGGAAUUAUUGGGCGUAAAGCGCGCGUAGGCGGUUUUUUAAGUCUGAUGUGAAAGCCCACGGCUCAACCCGUGGAGGGUCAUUGGAAACUGGAAAACUUGAGUGCAGAAGAGGAAAGUGGAAUUCCAUGUGUAGCGGUGAAAUGCGCAGAGAUAUGGAGGAACACCAGUGGCGAAGGCGACUUUCUGGUCUGUAACUGACGCUGAUGUGCGAAAGCGUGGGGAUCAAACAGGAUUAGAUACCCUGGUAGUCCACGCCGUAAACGAUGAGUGCUAAGUGUUAGGGGGUUUCCGCCCCUUAGUGCUGCAGCUAACGCAUUAAGCACUCCGCCUGGGGAGUACGACCGCAAGGUUGAAACUCAAAGGAAUUGACGGGGACCCGCACAAGCGGUGGAGCAUGUGGUUUAAUUCGAAGCAACGCGAAGAACCUUACCAAAUCUUGACAUCCUUUGACAACUCUAGAGAUAGAGCCUUCCCCUUCGGGGGACAAAGUGACAGGUGGUGCAUGGUUGUCGUCAGCUCGUGUCGUGAGAUGUUGGGUUAAGUCCCGCAACGAGCGCAACCCUUAAGCUUAGUUGCCAUCAUUAAGUUGGGCACUCUAAGUUGACUGCCGGUGACAAACCGGAGGAAGGUGGGGAUGACGUCAAAUCAUCAUGCCCCUUAUGAUUUGGGCUACACACGUGCUACAAUGGACAAUACAAAGGGCAGCGAAACCGCGAGGUCAAGCAAAUCCCAUAAAGUUGUUCUCAGUUCGGAUUGUAGUCUGCAACUCGACUACAUGAAGCUGGAAUCGCUAGUAAUCGUAGAUCAGCAUGCUACGGUGAAUACGUUCCCGGGUCU
Molecule: ribosomal RNA, 1373 nt
Filed under: uncultured bacterium
Lineage: Bacteria
Description: bacterial SSU rRNA
Rfam family: Bacterial small subunit ribosomal RNA
Source: RNAcentral